AUGCCUCUAGCCCUCUUAGCCCUGCUUGCCAAAGCUGUGGUUUCAGAGCUCUUUCCUGUGACUCCCCUAUCUAUCCACCUACUCCUCCUCCUAGCCCUGCUUGCCAGUGCUGUGGUCCCAGAAUUCCUUCCUGUCACUCCCCUGUCUAUCCGCCUACUCCUCAUCCUAGCCCUACUACUUCCCGAUACUCUAGUCCCAGAACUCUUUCCUGUGACUCCUUUAUCUAUUCCUCUACUACUACUUCUAGCUCUGUUUGCGAAUGCUGUGGUCCCUGAACUUUUUCCUGUCACUCCCCUAUCGAUCCCCCUACUCCUCCUUGUAGCCCUUCUUUCUAGAACUCAGCCUCCAGCCCUGCCACCUGCAACCAGACCUGGCGAUUCAAAGAUCUCAUCUUGGAGAUGUUUUUCCUGCUCCUGGAGCAGUUUUGGUGCAGUUCAGAAUGGCCAGGACCAUGGCUUCAGCAGCCUGACGUGGUGGACAAAGGAAAUGCAAGACAAUGGCAAACCUGCAUUCAGCCUCAUCUGCUCCUUUCCUUCCCUGCCUGAUCAGCCAGAUGGCCUAAGCUUCUACAUUUGUCCCUGGCUUCUCCAUGGAACUCAGUCUGUAGCCACAGAACAAACCACAGGGCCAGAGACAGAGAAAGUAGAGGUGAAUGAGGAGUGGGAAGCACCUCAUCUGUUCUCAAGGAGGAGAAUGAUUGGCCAAGAUGAGAUCCAAUCAUAUGUCCAUCAUCUCCUGGGUCAUCCACUUGGUGGUGAGUCCUUUCCAGGCCAUGUGCAGGGGCAGUUCCAGUAA
Molecule: long non-coding RNA, 795 nt
Filed under: Papio anubis (olive baboon)
Lineage: Eukaryota; Metazoa; Chordata; Mammalia; Primates; Cercopithecidae
Description: lncRNA (ENSPANG00000044250.1)
Source: RNAcentral